This 253-nucleotide ribosomal RNA is filed under the name uncultured bacterium. Its description in RNAcentral is "partial 16S ribosomal RNA". It matches the Rfam family "Bacterial small subunit ribosomal RNA", at positions 524 to 776 of the family's 1533-position model. The record is from RNAcentral.
UACGGAGGGUGCGAGCGUUGUUCGGAAUCACUGGGCGUAAAGCGCGUGUAGGCGGUCUCCUAAGUCUGAUGUGAAAGCCCGGGGCUCACCCCCGGAAGUGCAUUGGAAACUGGUAGACUGGAGUCCCGGAGAGGAGGGUGGAAUUCCUGGUGUAGCGGUGAAAUGGGUAGAUAUCAGGAGGAACACCGGUGGCGAAGGCGGCCCUCUGGACGGUGACUGACGCUGAGACGCGAAAGCGUGGGGAGCAAACAGG